UGGUGGAUAUCUAAAUCUUAUUUUAUCAUAAUUAGGUGGUAUGUGUUUCAUUCUUCUGGAUUUUAAAUGGAUUAUUAAUUUUGAUUCAAUACUAGAUAUUAAUGUAAUUAAGUAGGCUAAUCUUUGUGGGUUUUCUUUUGUUUUAUUUAGACUUAUAUAUUCUGAAUAAUUACUAAUUAAAGAUUCUUUAAUUUUUCUA
This 199-nucleotide long non-coding RNA is filed under the name Capsicum annuum. RNAcentral's name for it is "long non-coding RNA (CANN_LNC014105)". The record is from RNAcentral. Lineage: Eukaryota; Viridiplantae; Streptophyta; Magnoliopsida; Solanales; Solanaceae.